GAUGAACGCUGGCGGCGUGCCUAACACAUGCAAGUCGAGCGAUUCUCUUCGGAGAAGAGCGGCGGACGGGUGAGUAACGCGUGGGUAACCUGCCCUGUACACACGGAUAACAUACCGAAAGGUAUGCUAAUACGAGAUAAUAUACUUUUAUCGCAUGGUAGAAGUAUCAAAGCUCCGGCGGUACAGGAUGGACCCGCGUCUGAUUAGCUAGUUGGUAAGGUAACGGCUUACCAAGGCGACGAUCAGUAGCCGACCUGGGAGGGUGAUCGGCCACAUUGGAACUGAGACACGGUCCAAACUCCUACGGGAGGCAGCAGUGGGGAAUAUUGCACAAUGGGCGAAAGCCUGAUGCAGCAACGCCGCGUGAGCGAUGAAGGCCUCGGUCGUAAAGCUCUGUCC
RNAcentral lists this ribosomal RNA (399 nucleotides) under uncultured bacterium. RNAcentral's name for it is "bacterial SSU rRNA". It matches the Rfam family "Bacterial small subunit ribosomal RNA", at positions 28 to 438 of the family's 1533-position model. The record is from RNAcentral.